RNAcentral lists this ribosomal RNA (443 nucleotides) under uncultured bacterium. RNAcentral's name for it is "partial 16S ribosomal RNA". It matches the Rfam family "Bacterial small subunit ribosomal RNA", at positions 338 to 795 of the family's 1533-position model. The record is from RNAcentral.
CCUACGGGAGGCAGCAGUGAGGAAUAUUGGGCAAUGGGCGCAAGCCUGACCCAGCAACGCCGCGUGAAGGAAGAAGGCUUUCGGGUUGUAAACUUCUUUUCUCAGGGACGAAGCAAGUGACGGUACCUGAGGACUAAGCCACGGCUAACUACGUGCCAGCAGCCGCGGUAAUACGUAGGUGGCAAGCGUUAUCCGGAUUUACUGGGUGUAAAGGGCGUGUAGGCGGGAAAGCAAGUCAGAUGUGAAAACCAUGGGCUCAACCUGUGGCCUGCAUUUGAAACUGUUUUUCUUGAGUACUGGAGAGGCAGACGGAAUUCCUAGUGUAGCGGUGAAAUGCGUAGAUAUUAGGAGGAACACCAGUGGCGAAGGCGGUCUGCUGGACAGCAACUGACGCUGAGGCGCGAAAGCGUGGGGAGCAAACAGGAUUAGAUACCCCGGUAGUC